CAGCAGCCACGGGAAUACGAAGGGUGCAAGCGUUACUCGGAAUUACUGGGCGUAAAGCGUGCGUAGGUGGUGGUUUAAGUCCGUUGUGAAAGCCCUGGGCUCAACCUGGGAAUUGCAGUGGAUACUGGGUCACUAGAGUGUGGUAGAGGAUAGUGGAAUUUCCGGUGUAGCAGUGAAAUGCGUAGAGAUCGGAAGGAACAUCUGUGGCGAAGGCGACUAUCUGGGCCAACACUGACACUGAGGCACGAAAGCGUGGGGAGCAAACAGGAUUAGAGACCCCCGUAGUCCCUGUCUCUUAUAC
Molecule: ribosomal RNA, 301 nt
Filed under: uncultured bacterium
Lineage: Bacteria
Description: partial 16S ribosomal RNA
Rfam family: Bacterial small subunit ribosomal RNA
Source: RNAcentral